AGUGAUUGUCUUUGGGAGUUCUUGAAC
RNAcentral lists this non-coding RNA (27 nucleotides) under Cricetulus griseus (Chinese hamster). The record is from RNAcentral. Lineage: Eukaryota; Metazoa; Chordata; Mammalia; Rodentia; Cricetidae.